CACUGCAAUAGCUCAGCAUGGAUUCGUCGUGGUCGCUAGUGACUACAUUUUUCCUGCGCUUGAUAACCCGUCCGGUUACCACAUGAACAAAGAGAAACUUGGCUCCAUCGCUGACAAGUACAUGGAGCAGUUUUACUGGCUGAAGUCCAACCUGCAGAGGUUAAUCCAAGCCGUAACACCGGGCGUGAAUAGCAGUUGGGACCAC
Molecule: long non-coding RNA, 205 nt
Organism: Haliotis rubra (blacklip abalone)
Lineage: Eukaryota; Metazoa; Mollusca; Gastropoda; Lepetellida; Haliotidae
Exons: 3
Source: RefSeq, a predicted model, not a curated record